Molecule: ribosomal RNA, 916 nt
Filed under: uncultured Mycoplasma sp.
Lineage: Bacteria; Bacillati; Mycoplasmatota; Mollicutes; Mycoplasmatales; Mycoplasmataceae
Description: bacterial SSU rRNA
Rfam family: Bacterial small subunit ribosomal RNA
Source: RNAcentral
ACCUAGCGGCGAAUGGGUGAGUAACACGUGCUUAAUCUACCCUUCAGAUUGGAAUACCCAAUGGAAACAUUGGCUAAUGCCGGAUACGCAUGGAAUCGCAUGAUUCCGUUGUGAAAGGGGCCUCAAAGCCCCCACUGAAGGAUGAGGGUGCGGAACAUUAGUUAGUUGGUAGGGUAAUGGCCUACCAAGACUAUGAUGUUUAGCCGGGUCGAGAGACUGAACGGCCACAUUGGGACUGAGAUACGGCCCAAACUCCUACGGGAGGCAGCAGUAGGGAAUAUUCCACAAUGAGCGAAAGCUUGAUGGAGCGACACAGCGUGCACGAUGAAGGUCUUCGGAUUGUAAAGUGCUGUUAUAAGGGAAGAACACUCAGAGGAGGAAAUGCCUUUGAGCUGACGGUACCUUGUCAGAAAGCGAUGGCUAACUAUGUGCCAGCAGCCGCGGUAAUACAUAGGUCGCAAGCGUUAUCCGGAAUUAUUGGGCGUAAAGCGUUCGUAGGCUGUUUAUUAAGUCUGGAGUCAAAUCCCGGGGCUCAACCCCGGCUCGCUUUGGAUACUGAUAAACUAGAGUUGGAUAGAGGUAAGCGGAAUUCCAUGUGAAGCGGUGAAAUGCGUAGAUAUAUGGAAGAACACCAAAGGCGAAGGCAGCUUACUGGGUCUAUACUGACGCUGAGGGACGAAAGCGUGGGGAGCAAACAGGAUUAGAUACCCUGGUAGUCCACGCCGUAAACGAUGAUCAUUAGUCGGUGGAGAGUUCACUGACGCAGCUAACGCAUUAAAUGAUCCGCCUGAGUAGUAUGCUCGCAAGAGUGAAACUUAAAGGAAUUGACGGGGACCCGCACAAGCGGUGGAGCAUGUGGUUUAAUUUGAAGAUACACGGAGAACCUUACCCACUCUUGACAUCUUCCGCAAAGCUA